Molecule: ribosomal RNA, 446 nt
Filed under: uncultured bacterium
Lineage: Bacteria
Description: bacterial SSU rRNA
Rfam family: Bacterial small subunit ribosomal RNA
Source: RNAcentral
AACGAACGCUGGCGGCAGGCCUAACACAUGCAAGUCGAGCGCCCCGCAAGGGGAGCGGCGGACGGGUGAGUAACGCGUGGGAAUUUUCCUCAAGGUACGGAACAACUCAGGGAAACUUGGGCUAAUACCGUAUGAUGUCUAGCGACCAAAGAUUUAUCGCCUUGGGAUAAGCCCGCGUCAGAUUAGGUAGUUGGUGGGGUAACGGCCUACCAAGCCUGCGAUCUGUAGCUGGUCUGAGAGGACGAUCAGCCACACUGGACUGAGACACGGCCCAGACUCCUACGGGAGGCAGCAGUGGGGAAUCUUGCGCAAUGGGCGAAAGCCUGACGCAGCCAUGCCGCGUGAAUGAUGAAGGUCUUAGGAUUGUAAAGUUCUUUCGCCCGUGACGAUGAUGACGUAACGGGAGAAGAAGCCCCGGNUAACUUCGUGCCAGCAGCCGCAGUAAU